Pelobates cultripes (western spadefoot toad) is the source of this 900-nucleotide non-coding RNA. The record is from the annotation of a GenBank genome assembly. NCBI's taxonomy places the organism in Eukaryota, Metazoa, Chordata, Amphibia, Anura, Pelobatidae.
CCGGGCGGUCCGCCCUCAUGGACGCACCGCCCGGGCAAAGCUGCAGCCGCCUGAGGUUCUCUGCUGCCUAGUCCGCCUUACAGGUAGCGCCGGCCCUGGCUUCAGGUCAUUGUCCAUCUGCACUGUGAAGCACUGUGCAAUGAGUUCUGAAGCAUUUGGCUGAAUAUGAGCAGAUAAUAUUGCUCGAAACACUUCAGAAUUCAUCCUGCUGCUUUUGUCAGCAGUCACAUCAUCAAUAAAUACAAGAGAACCAGUUCCAUUGGCAGCUAUACAUGCCCACACCAUGACACUACCACCACCAUGCUUCACUGAUGAGGCAAUAUGCUUUGGAUCAUGACCAGUUCCUUUCCUUCUCCAUACUCUUCUCUUCCCAUCACUCUAGUACAAGUUGAUCUUGGUCUCAUCUAUCCAUAGGAUGUUGUUCCAGAACUGUGAAGGCUUUUUUAGAUGUUGUUUGGCAAACUUUAAUCUGGCCUUCCUGUUUUUGAGGCUCACCAAUGGUUUACAUCUUGUGGUGAACCCUCUGUAUUCACUCUGGUGAAGUCUUCUCUUGAUUGUUGACUUUGACACACAUACACCUACCUCCUGGAGAGUGUUCUUGAUCUGGCCAACUGUUGUGAAGGGUGUUUUCUUCACCAGGGAAAGAAUUCUUCGGUCAUCCACCACAGUUGUUUUCCGUGGUCUUCCAGGUCUUUUGGUGUUGCUGAGCUCACCGGUGCGUUCUUUCUUUUUAAGGAUGUUCCAAACAGUUGAUUUGGCCACACCUAAUGUUUUUGCUAUCUCUCUGAUGGGUUUGUUUUUUUUCUUUUAGCCUAAUGAUGGCUUGCUUCACUGAUAGUGACAUCUCUUUGGAUCUCAUAUUGAGAGUUGACAGCAACAGAUUCCAAAUGCAAAUAGCAC